Long non-coding RNA from Gadus chalcogrammus (walleye pollock), 1445 nucleotides. RefSeq lists it as uncharacterized. Lineage: Eukaryota; Metazoa; Chordata; Actinopteri; Gadiformes; Gadidae. The transcript has 3 exons. The record is from RefSeq and is a predicted model, not a curated record.
UUAAAGCAAAGAUUUUUACAAGUAAAAAUAGGUAUAGUUUCUUGUUUUGGUUUGUGCAUGCUUUUGAAUUAACACGCAAGAGAAAUGUGCACCGCCUGGUGAACUUCAUCUAGGUUCACAAAUUGCAUUACUUCGGAUGGCCCAAGAGAAGUAAUUUGGUAUGAUGCAGUCUAUAGAAAAUGGGCAUGGCUAUGGCUCCCAAUCCGAUCAAGACGUCAACAUCUUCUGAAGUGAGCCGCAGACUGGCCUUGCCUUCCUGGAUCGUUGGAGAUGAACAGACGUACCUUAACCUUAUGUCGGAGCUCAUUGACAGUCUGUUAUAGCAACGGUUGGAAGCUAUAAUCACUACAUUGAUAUGGAUUUGCAAAUUUUUUGUGUGAAGUUGAGACUUCAAUUUUUUUUUGAGGUUUAAAAUGAUUUCAUAUGGAAUAGUCUGUGCAAUUUUCAAUGUAAAAAGGAAACAAUGGUAUGUAACAUGGGUGGUUCGUAAGCAGAUUGUGCUCUAAUCAGGGCUCUACCACUCAGUCGUGGCAGGUGUCCAUUUCUAUGCUGCUGUCUGCUGGGGAGGAAACAUGGCAGAAAGGAACAUCAGGAGGCUGGACAAAAACGGGUCAAGAAGGCUGGUUCAGUUCUUGGGAAGAGACUGGUCUCACUGAUGGUUGUAGUGGUGGAGAGGCACACAUGGAGUAAGCUGUCAUCAUGGACAAUGGCAGCCAUCCUCUCUACCACACCUUGGCAGAACAGAGGAGCAGCUGCAGUAGGGUUCAUUCCGCUGUGCUGUAGGACUGAGCGGUACAGUCAUCCUUUGUCCCCAAAGCCAUCAGAGUACACAACACCUCAGGCGAGGGUAGUGACCUAUUGUGACUUUGUCUUUCUAACCCUCUCCCAGUGCCCACCCACUGCACAAUGUGCAAUUGUGUAAUUAAUCUGACGCUGGUUCUUUUUUAUAUGCAAUUUUAAUAAUGUGCAAUAUUGCUCACUUUUUAUUGACUUAUUUGGAUAAUUUUUUACUGUUUGUACAUUUUGUUUGACAAUUGAGGCUGACUUUAAGCAUUUGCAAAUUUCCCCAAAUGGAUGAAUAAAGUAUCUACUAUCGAUUCAAUUACGCUAUGAAAUGUCAUCUAAAUCCACAGCACAAUCUCAGGCACAAAUUAUAUCUUGGUUAACCACAAGGAUCAGGCAUUAAGCCGUGAGGACAAUGUUUCGUGCUGUGAUACUCAAAAAAGUGUCUGAGCUUAGGCCUACUUAUUGGUCUUCUAGCGGCCCUCGCUGGGGUUGUCUCCCGAAUAGCUUUGCAAUCUGACUGCCUGAAUUGGACUAAAUCUAACUGUAAAUCCUAGUACAUUAUAGGAAUCUUAUAAAUGUAUAACAUUUAUUUUAUUACACAGGGUUAAAAUGCGGCGACAAUGAGCACAGUUAGAGGGUAGUGCGCUAGAGGGCAGUGU